Molecule: ribosomal RNA, 449 nt
Filed under: uncultured bacterium
Lineage: Bacteria
Description: partial 16S ribosomal RNA
Rfam family: Bacterial small subunit ribosomal RNA
Source: RNAcentral
AACGAACGCUGGCGGCAUGCCUAACACAUGCAAGUCGAACGAGAUCUUCGGGUCUAGUGGCGCACGGGUGCGUAACGCGUGGGAAUCUGCCCUUUGGUUCGGAAUAACAGUUGGAAACGACUGCUAAUACCGGAUGAUGACGAAAGUCCAAAGAUUUAUCGCCAGAGGAUGAGCCCGCGUAGGAUUAGCUAGUUGGUGUGGUAAAGGCGCACCAAGGCGACGAUCCUUAGCUGGUCUGAGAGGAUGAUCAGCCGCACUGGGACUGAGACACGGCCCAGACUCCUACGGGAGGCAGCAGCGGGGAAUAUUGGACAAUGGGCGAAAGCCUGAUCCAGCAAUGCCGCGUGAGUGAUGAAGGCCUUAGGGUUGUAAAGCUCUUUUACCCGGGAUGAUAAUGACAGUACCGGGAGAAUAAGCUCCGGCUAACUCCGUGCCAGCCGCCGCAGUAA